GACGAACGCUGGCGGCGUGCUUAACACAUGCAAGUCGAACGGAAAGGCCCUGCUUUUGUGGGGAGCUCGAGUGCCGCACGCGUGAGUAACACGUGAGUAACCUCCCCCUUACUUCGGGAUAACUUCAGGAGACUCGGGCUCUAAUAGCAUAUGAGCUCCUGCUGCACGGUGUGGAUUGGAAAGUUUCGCCGUUUCGGGAUGGACUCGAGGCUUAUCAGCUUGUUGGUGGGGUAGUGGCUUACCAAGGCGUUGACGGGUAGCCGGCCUGCGAGGGUGACCGGCCACAAUGGGACUGAGGUAGGGCCCAGACUCCUUCGGGGGGCAGCAGUGGGAGAUAUUGCGCAAUGGGCGGAAGCCGGAUGCAGCAACGUCGCGUGCUGGAUGACGGCCUUCGGGUUAGAAACCUCGUGCGACUGGAACGAUGAGUGAGUGACGGUAACGAGUAAGGAAGCACCGGCUAACUACGUG
This 468-nucleotide ribosomal RNA is filed under the name uncultured bacterium. RNAcentral describes it as "partial 16S ribosomal RNA". It matches the Rfam family "Bacterial small subunit ribosomal RNA", at positions 28 to 507 of the family's 1533-position model. The record is from RNAcentral.